CCUACGGGUGGCAGCAGUGAGGAAUAUUGGUCAAUGGCCGCAAGGCUGAACCAGCCAAGUCGCGUGAGGGAUGACGGUCCUAUGGAUUGUAAACCUCUUUUGUCAGGGAGCAAAGGGCGCCACGUGUGGCGCCUUGCGAGUACCUGAAGAAAAAGCAUCGGCUAACUCCGUGCCAGCAGCCGCGGUAAUACGGAGGGUGCAAGCGUUACUCGGAAUUACUGGGCGUAAAGGGCGCGUAGGCGGGAUAGUAAGUCAGUUGUGAAAUUCUAGGGCUUAACCAUAAAAUUGCAUUUGAAACUGUUAUUCUAGAGUAUGGGAGAGGUAGGUGGAAUUCUUGGUGUAGCGGUGAAAUCCGUAGAGAUCACGAGGAAUACCGAUUGCGAAGGCGACCCGCUAGACCAUAACUGACGCUGAUGCGCGAAAGCGUGGGGAGCAAACAGGAUUAGAUACCCCGGUAGUC
This 460-nucleotide ribosomal RNA is filed under the name uncultured bacterium. RNAcentral's name for it is "partial 16S ribosomal RNA". It matches the Rfam family "Bacterial small subunit ribosomal RNA", at positions 338 to 795 of the family's 1533-position model. The record is from RNAcentral.